This 387-nucleotide unclassified non-coding RNA is filed under the name soil metagenome. RNAcentral's name for it is "partial contains 5.8S ribosomal RNA, internal transcribed spacer 2, and large subunit ribosomal RNA". The stretch from base 1 to 120 matches the Rfam family "5.8S ribosomal RNA", at positions 35 to 154 of the family's 154-position model. The record is from RNAcentral.
GAUGAAGAACGCAGUGAAAUGCGAUAAGUAAUGUGAAUUGCAGAAUUCAGUGAAUCAUCGAAUCUUUGAACGCACCUUGCGCUCCUUGGUAUUCCGAGGAGCAUGCCUGUUUGAGUGUCAUGAAAUUCUCAACCUUUUCAGCUUUCUUUGUUGAUCAGGCUUGGAUGUGGGAGUAUGCGGGCUUCUCAGAAGUCGGCUCUCCUGACAUGCAUUAGCGGGACCUUUGUUGCCUGGCUUUGGUGUGAUAAUUAUCUACGCCAUUGUAGUCAAGCAGCUUAAAAUGAGGUUUCAGCUUCUAACCGUCUCCCCUGAGACAACUUUUUGACAAUUUGACCUCAAAUCAGGUAGGACUACCCGCUGAACUUAAGCAUAUCAAUAAGCGGAGGA